RNAcentral lists this long non-coding RNA (4968 nucleotides) under Ornithorhynchus anatinus (platypus). RNAcentral's name for it is "lncRNA (ENSOANG00000047248.1)". The record is from RNAcentral. Lineage: Eukaryota; Metazoa; Chordata; Mammalia; Monotremata; Ornithorhynchidae.
GGUUCUUCUCAUUCCCAGGCCUCUGAUCUAUACACUAGGCCAUGCGUGGUACUACCCUCAAGUAACUUACAAUCCAAAUGUAGUUUAUUAUUUUUCCAAUUUUGAAAAGUUCUCCAAAGAUAUUAUUGUUUUCUAUGAUAUUUGUUAAGCACCUACUAUGAGUCAAACACCGUUCUGAGCGCUGGGGUAGGUACAAGUUAAGUAGGUUGGAUACAGUCCCUGUCCCGCAAGGGGCUCACAGUCUAAAUAAGAGGGAGGACAGGUAUUUUGUCCCAUUUUACAGUUGAGGAAACGGAGGCACAGAGAAGUUAAGCGACUUGCCCAAGGUCACACAGCAAGAAGUUGUCAGAGCUGGGAUUAGAACCCAGGUCCUCCGACACCCAGGCCCCAUAGUCUUUCCACGAGGCCAAGCUCCUUUUCGAGAAGCAGCGGUGCAAGAGGGAAUGUGUUGUCCCCCCAAAAGACUUUUGCUUAUGACAUUCUCCCAACCUGAAAUGUUCUACCUCUUGACCAAGCUUGGCCCAUUUCAACUUCAAAACCAUGCUACCCUUUACUUCCGUAUACCUUGGGUCAUAGUAUGUUUUUGUUAUUUCUGUUUAUAAUCUAUCUUUUAUUUGCUUGUAUGUCAUUUGGGCUUUAUUUUCCUUUUAUAAUAUCUUUGCCCCAUGGACUCUGUCUUGAAUUUUCUGUUAAUUCCCCUCAGCCCAUAGUUCAGUGUUCAGAUUCCAGUGCAUGCUCUAUAAAUAUCGACGUUUCAGUGUUUACCGUAUAUCCUAGUAACUACGCGAUACCUUUGUAUUGUAGGGGUUAAAAGAAGGAGCGGCAGAAAUGUGGAAUCAAAAUGCAGGAAUACCACCACAGAGGCCACAGGUCUGCCCCAUCGCACCGAUUCCUGGAACAAACAUGUAUCCCACUGGGCCCAACGGGCAGCCGUACCCUACUCAGGGUUACCCUGGGUCCGUUCCUUACCCACCUGGUGGUUACCCCGGCAACCUGCCGGGAGGGUAUCCUGGUGACGGUGGGCACCCCCCCCACGGAUAUCACCCUCAAGGGCAACCCCCAUGUGGACCCAUGCCACCUGGGCAGCCGGGAAUGAUGCCCGGAGGCCCCGGUUAUCUACCUCAGCAGCCUGGUUGCUGCUCUGGAAAAAAGCAGAAACACUGUAAAAAAAGCUCUGGCCAUCACUGUCACAAGGUAAGUACCGGACUUGGAUGUACUAGGGUUCUGAUUGAGAAAGCAACUCUUAUUACAGUUUAAUUCAGAACAGUUACUCUCUUCCCCUUCAAAGCCUUAAUGAAAGCCCACCUCCUCCAAGAUGCCUUCCUGACUAAGCCCUCUUCUCCUCUUUCUCUUUCUUCUGCGUCGCCCUGACUUGCUCCCUUUGUUCAUCCCCCCUCCCAGCCCCACAGCACUUAUGUACAUAUCUGUCACGUAUUUAUUUAUUUAUAUUACUGUCUCUCUCCCCCCUGUAGAUUGUAAGCUCGUUGCGGUCAGGGAAUACGUCUGGUUAUUCUUACAUUCUACUCUCCCGAGCACUUAGGACAGUGCUCCGCACACAGUAAACGCUCGUUUGAACAGUAAGGAGCUUGUUAUGGGCAGGGAUUAUGCCUACCGACGCUGUUGUAUCGUUCUCUCUCAAGCGCUUCGCACAGUGCUCUGAACACAGUAAGCAUUCAAGUUUACCACGGAUCGACUUACGUGUAUUCGGCGUAGCUAGCGCAGAUGGGAGGGCGUCCUCUUCAGACCUCCUGGUUGACCUGGAACCACUCAAAUUGACAGCCGGUUCCCGGGGAUUCCAGUGAUUCUGUGCCCCCUCCUCACCUAACCCAUCCACUUGAAGACAACGGCCAAGCAGACCAUCGGUAGAUGGAGAGGCCUAGUAAUUUGGGUGAAUGGAGGGCUAAAUUGGUUGGGGUGAAGAGUCGCUCUUGCCACUUCUCUCUCUCUCUCUUGAUGGCAUUUAUUAAAUGCUUACUAUGUGUCGAGUACUGUUCUGUGUACUGUGGUAGAUCCAAGAUAGUCGGGUCGAACCCGGUCCCUGUCUCAUGUGGGCCUCACGGUCUAACACAGAGGGGAGGAGGAUUUAAUCCCCAUUUUAAAGAAGAGAUUACUGAACCCCAGAGAAGUAAGUUUACUUGUUCAAAGACUCCCAACAGACUUCUCCUUGUCCUUCCUCUUAGCUCGAGAGAGAGGCCUCUCGGGGUUGAGUCCUGCUUGUCUUUUGUUUGGGUCUUUGCUACAACCAGGAAGACAGCAUAUGCAGCUCCCUAGGCUGAAAUUUCCUUUCAGUUCAGGUGACCUGAUGACCAUGCCUUUUUCUAACAAGCCUAGAGUUUAAUAUUUGCUCAAGUGUCAGAGCAAGUGGCCUUUUUUAUGGUAGUUGUUAAGCACUUAGUAUGUGCCAGGCCUGUUCUGAGAGCUGGAGUAGACGCAAGCUAAUUAGGUUGGACACACACCAUGUCCCACAUGGGGCUCAAAGUCUUAAUCUCCAUACUAUAGAUAAGGUAACUGAGGCACAGAGAAAUUAAGUGACUUGCUCGAGGUCACAAAGCAGACGUGUUGGAGCCGGGAUUAGAACCCAGGUCCUUCUGACUCCCAGGCCAGCGCUCUAUCCAUUAGUCCACGCUGACUGCCAACUGAAAUGGACGUACCACAAAUGCAUAACCGUCACCUCCAAUUAGCUGAUUCAGGAAUGAAACUCUGAAGUAGAAAAGAGCCCCUGGAACGUGGCUCAUUUUUUCUUCCUAAACACAGACCCGGAAGCACAGUGACGCUCAUUUGGAAUCCGUCUCUUUCAGCAACGUCGAGAUUCAAGCAGUUCAGAUUCGGACUGAGGAACGGAUGGACAGUGCAACCUGGAAAGAAACUCUUUGGGAGUGAUCAAAACAUAAGAAAAUCAAAGCUCAAGAAUUGUAAUUAGCCCUGCUUCCCUUUCCCCUACCCCUAGCCUUUAGUCUGCACUGGCCUUUUCUAUUUCUGCAAAAUUAUUUCUUUUUUAUGAAGGAAAGGGCAAUGAUUGUCGUGAUAGUUGAAUUUUAAUAGCAUACACCUGAAAAACAGUACAGAUUAAUUUGAUCAUAGUACAUGGACUAAUUAUUAGUAUACUGCCACAUUGUGCUUGUACCCCAGAACGGCUGGAUGCUCGGGAAAUGAUUAAAACGUUUCAUGUUAUAUCUCGAUGGACUCAUAGCUCGGCGAGAGACUUGCCUGGUUCAUUAAAUUCGUCCCGAGUUUCCUCUUCAGGGAUGCAAAAGGCUAUUCCUAGAUCUGCCGUGGUUCCCGGAUUAUCCCUGUGCCAGCGGCUUCCAUUCUAAGCCUCGGUCUCUUUGUUUGGAACAUGAAGAAAAUGAUUGACCUACUCUUAAAGCUUGUAGAAAAGAAAAUUAAAACUAGGAUGAAGCUCUUGUCCAAACCUUAAAAAUAUCUUCUUUUUUUUCCAGAAGGUGCAGGUCUAAUUGGUCUGUCCCAACAGCAACUAUUUUAAUUCAAGUUUUAGCCCUUGAAAAAGAAGUUCCUAUGCUCCCUUUUCAUUACAGCAUCUCCCAGGGGCCUCUUCUAUCUAGAAUUAACAUAUCCUGGGCAGAAAUGCUGCCUCAAAGGAACUUUUCUUAAGACUUGUGUUCUGAAUUCUCCUCCUUACAAGUGUCACAGAGUCAUUAGAGGUCCCAAUAAGGAAACCCAGAGAAAAAACUCAUAAAGCCACAAAAAUAUCAGUUGACAAUAGCGUAGGCAUCUUCCAUGAAUAUGCUUAAAAUGUGAUAAACCACACUAUAAUCUGGGAAGGGAAAAAAAAGUUUAUUUAUCAAAUAGCACACUUAUUUCAAGGAAAAACAAUACCAAGAUUAUCCAAAAUUACAAUUUGUUACGAUAGCCUCACACCCACGGAGGCGCUUAGAAUUUACAUGGCUCUGAACACAACCAGCGGGAUCUGCAAAACUUGGUACGCCCUAGAUCUUGGAGUGAGGAAGUAUCAGAAGUGUUAAGCAGAUGGAUUCUCAUGAGAAAAGAGUGGUGUUAGCCAAGGGAAGCAAAGAAAAAGCAAACAAUGCAGGGAGUGGGAUACUGAGGGAGAACAGAGCCAGGCUCUGGUGGAGGAUGCAGGAUAUUUCUACAGGGAGAGGCUUCGAGGUGUUUUCCCAGGUUCGUGGGUUAGUAUCCAGAUGGGUCAAUAGCAAGAUUUGGUUGUUUUUUAAAUAUAGGAAUCUACUCCUGACUGGUAGGGAAAGAAUAACUCUGACAGGAGGCUAUGGGAAAAGAGUGAGUUUCCUCAGGGUAUCUGAAACAACAGACAACUAAAUUAUCUUUUUGGGGAGAGGAUGAAGAAGAGAAAAGAAGGAAUUUGCUUUUGGAGCUCCUGGCAAUGCUUAGUCAGCAUUUUGGGGGUUUCGCUCCCUUUUACCUUUGAACCAAGCAUGAGGUUAGCAAAUGCCCACCAACCCCGUUGUUUGGAACCGGGGAAUCCCUAAACUAGGUAGGGGUGGUCACUCUAGGCUCCAUCAGAAAUGAGAAAGGGGAAACAUCUGGGGAGAAAACUGGAUACUGGACAUUUUCACUAAACUGGGAUGCUGAGUUUCUCCUCUCAGCUUGGCAUUCAGCUGAAUGUGUGUGCAUAUCCAUACUCAUUCACACAUCCUCCCACACAUGCACUCACACGGAAAGGAACUGUUGAUUUUUAAGGCAGUAAAGGUUACAUGUAUGGCUCUGAAUCCUUUUCUGUUCUUGUCUUCUAUUAGCACCGUAAAAAAAGGAGUUCAGGACUGGUCGUUAUUGUUCACUGUGGAACAAUUAAAAUCCACAUAUAAUCUGUUCUAGGGGUCUCUAGUAAAAUCCUGCUUCUUAGCCUCAAUCCCAGGCCAAUCCUUGGAGUUUAACCAUUGUACAAGAUCAGAAAAAAAAAAAGCAAUAUCUUUCAGGUGUAUGUGAAUAUCUGUGUUCUGUGGCUAGGGGUUAGGGUUGGGACCUGUGCAU